GAGACACCCUUCUGGGGCAAGACUUGUAUCAGUGGGGCUUUGGUGCUCACUGAGUCUGCCCCGAGUGUGUCCUU
RNAcentral lists this microRNA precursor (74 nucleotides) under Myotis lucifugus (little brown bat). RNAcentral describes it as "mir-9229 microRNA precursor family". It matches the Rfam family "mir-9229 microRNA precursor family". Lineage: Eukaryota; Metazoa; Chordata; Mammalia; Chiroptera; Vespertilionidae. The record is from Rfam by way of RNAcentral.